GAGGAGGAGGAGGAGGAGGAGGAGGAAGAGGAGGAGCGUCCAUGGCCAGCCCCGCGUGCCGGGAGCGCUGUUGACGCGUCCCUUGUCUCCCAGAUUUACACUCUUAUCUUUUUGCAUUGAAAGCGCUCACAGGUGAAGAGCUCCGGAGACUUCACUGCCAUGAGGAUGCUGAACGUGGGCACUUGAGCUAAAAUGAGGAGGCAAACAGGCUUCUGGCCAAAAACAUCCAUCCCUGGCAUGGCUUUCUGCUGGAUCUGCAGUUUGUCACAGCUCUCCCGCAGAGAUGAAGCCACACAAAGACCUGGCUCCCCCGGGGGAAGCGAUGGGGGAAAAUCCCCACGGCGUGGCCGUGCGGGGAUGGGAUGGAUGGAGUUCUACAGCCGCCCUCCAACCACCCCACAACCAUCCUACGAUCGUCCUCAAACCAUCCUGGAGAACGUGAGGAGCCAACCCCACGUGGGAUUGCUUCUCCAUCCCUCUCCUUGAGCGCCGUUCCCACACGGAGCCUCCUGGGCGGCCGCCGGGGACGGCACCGGCACCCUCUGGACGUGGCCCCGGCCCCCGGGAGGGCUCGGGGGAUUCUCCCGGUGGGAUUCAGCUGCUGACGGAUCGAAGGGCGCGUUUUCCCCAGGAACAAUCCCGGAGGAGGUGGGAGAGCAGAACCAUUACGGAGGAGGAUGAACUUGGCUCAGUCGCCAUGGAAACGCUGGCCGGGCCCGGCACCGCUCGCGUGUGCACGAGGCCCGUUGACCUCACUUAGAAUUAUUACCUUUAGCCAAAUAAAAUAAUUUGUGUUAAUAAAGAGACCAUUUUCUCUCGGC
Molecule: long non-coding RNA, 821 nt
Organism: Parus major (Great Tit)
Lineage: Eukaryota; Metazoa; Chordata; Aves; Passeriformes; Paridae
Exons: 2
Source: RefSeq, a predicted model, not a curated record